Molecule: ribosomal RNA, 253 nt
Filed under: uncultured bacterium
Lineage: Bacteria
Description: partial 16S ribosomal RNA
Rfam family: Bacterial small subunit ribosomal RNA
Source: RNAcentral
CACGUAGGGGACGAGCGUUGUCCGGAUUCAUUGGGCGUAAAGCGCGCGUAGGCGGCUCGGAAAGUCGGUCGUGAAAUGCCGGGGCUCAACCCCGGGACUGCGUCCGAUACUCCCGAGCUGGAGGCAGGUAGGGGAGAUCGGAAUUCCUGGUGUAGCGGUGAAAUGCGCAGAUAUCAGGAGGAACACCGGUGGCGAAGGCGGGUCUCUGGGCUAACACUGACGCUCAUGCACGAAAGCGUGGGGAGCAAACAGG